This 497-nucleotide ribosomal RNA is filed under the name uncultured bacterium. RNAcentral describes it as "partial 16S ribosomal RNA". It matches the Rfam family "Bacterial small subunit ribosomal RNA", at positions 28 to 507 of the family's 1533-position model. The record is from RNAcentral.
GACGAACGCUGGCGGUGUGCCUAAUACAUGCAAGUAGAACGCUGAAGAGAGGAGCUUACUCUUCUUGGAUGAGUUGCGAACGGGUGAGUAACGCGUAGGUAACCUGCCUUGUAGCGGGGGAUAACUAUUGGAAACGAUAGCUAAUACCGCAUAACAAUGGAUGACACAUGUCAUUUAUUUGAAAGGGGCAAUUGCUCCACUACAAGAUGGACCUGCGUUGUAUUAGCUAGUAGGUGAGGUAAUGGCUCACCUAGGCGACGAUACAUAGCCGACCUGAGAGGGUGAUCGGCCACACUGGGACUGAGACACGGCCCAGACUCCUACGGGAGGCAGCAGUAGGGAAUCUUCGGCAAUGGGGGCAACCCUGACCGAGCAACGCCGCGUGAGUGAAGAAGGUUUUCGGAUCGUAAAGCUCUGUUGUAAGUCAAGAACGGGUGUGAGAGUGGAAAGUUCACACUGUGACGGUAGCUUACCAGAAAGGGACGGCUAACUACGUG